This is a non-coding RNA of Microbacterium sp., 348 nucleotides long. The record is from Rfam. NCBI's taxonomy places the organism in Bacteria, Bacillati, Actinomycetota, Actinomycetes, Micrococcales, Microbacteriaceae.
AAAUUGAAGAGUUUGAUCAUGGCUCAGAUUGAACGCUGGCGGCAGGCCUAACACAUGCAAGUCGAACGGUAGCACAGAGAGCUUGCUCUCGGGUGACGAGUGGCGGACGGGUGAGUAAUGUCUGGGAAACUGCCUGAUGGAGGGGGGAUAACUACUGGAAACGGUAGCUAAUACCGCAUAACGUCGCAAGACCAAAGAGGGGGACCUUCGGGCCUCUUGCCAUCAGAUGUGCCCAGAUGGGAUUAGCUAGUAGGUGGGGGUAACGGCUCACCUAGGCGACGAUCCCUAGCUGGUCUGAGAGGAUGACCAGCCACACUGGAACUGAGACACGGUCCAGACUCCUACGGG